Molecule: small RNA, 143 nt
Filed under: Shewanella loihica PV-4
Lineage: Bacteria; Pseudomonadati; Pseudomonadota; Gammaproteobacteria; Alteromonadales; Shewanellaceae
Also listed under: 1 other name
Source: RNAcentral
AGAUAAAAAAAGACCCAAAACUAUUCCAAUUGUUCUGGGUCUAGGGGAAUGGCUCUUUGCAGAGCCGUGCGCUACUGUUUGAGAUUGCCUCGAAUUUCAUCUCAGGCUUUUAGUGUAGUCAAACUCCACCUCACUGCCGGACU